AGAACGAACGCUGGCGGCAGGCCUCAAACAUGCAAGUCUAGGGGGUGUAGCAAUACAUCACCGGCGGACGGGUGCGCAACGCGUGGGAAUGUACCUAUUGGUUCGGAACAACACAGGGAAACUUGUGCUAAUGCCGAAUGUGCCCGUAAGGGGAAAGAUUUAUCGCCAAUAGAUCAGCCCGCGUUCGAUUAGCUAGUUGGUGAGGUAAUGGCUCACCAAGGCGACGAUCGAUAGCUGUUCUGAGAGGAAGAUCAGCCACACUGGGACUGAGACACGGCCCAGACUCCUACGGGAGGCAGCAGUUGGGAAUCUUGGACAAUGGGGGAAACCCUGAUCCAGCCAUGCCGCGUGAGUGAUGAAGGCCUUCGGGUGUAAACUCUUUCGCGCACGACGAUAAUGACGGUAGUGCGAGAAGAAGCUCCGGCUAACUUCGUGCCAGCAGCCGC
This 446-nucleotide ribosomal RNA is filed under the name uncultured bacterium. RNAcentral's name for it is "SSU rRNA". It matches the Rfam family "Bacterial small subunit ribosomal RNA", at positions 26 to 518 of the family's 1533-position model. The record is from RNAcentral.